CUCACAGGUUGACAGUGUCUGAGGUCCCUCACAGGUUGACAGUGUCUGAGGUCCCUCACAGGUUGACAGUGUCUGAGGUCCCUCACAGGUUGACAGUGUCUGAGGUCCCUCACAGGUUGACAGUGUCUAAGGUUCCUCAUAGGUGGACAGUGUCUAAGGUCCCUCACAGGUUGACAGUGGCUGAGGUUCCUCACAGGUGGACAGUGUCUGAGGUUCCUCACAGGUUGACAGUGUCUGAGGUCCCUCACAGGUGGACAGUGUCUAAGGUCCCUCACAGGUUGACAGUGUCUGAGGUCCCUCAC
This is a long non-coding RNA of Austrofundulus limnaeus, 302 nucleotides long. RefSeq lists it as uncharacterized. Lineage: Eukaryota; Metazoa; Chordata; Actinopteri; Cyprinodontiformes; Rivulidae. The transcript has 3 exons. The record is from RefSeq and is a predicted model, not a curated record.